Molecule: long non-coding RNA, 300 nt
Filed under: Amborella trichopoda
Lineage: Eukaryota; Viridiplantae; Streptophyta; Magnoliopsida; Amborellales; Amborellaceae
Description: long non-coding RNA (ATRI_LNC005218)
Source: RNAcentral
CAAACUCAAUUUACACAAUUUCAUAAUUUAAUUAUAUCAAUUCCUCUCUCUCGAUCUACAGUUUAUUCCUAUAAAUGUAGGAGACAGAGAAAAUGAGAAGAACCCAAAAAGCAGGAGCAAGGAGAAGUUCAAUAUUAUUAUUAAAGAGAGUAACUUGAUGGAUAGGCAAAAGAGGUGAGACAUACUUUACAAACCUUCAUCCGCAAAUGUUUUAAACCUUCAUCUGCAAAUGUUUCAGACCUUCUUCUGCAAAUGUUUUAUUAGUAAAGAGGGCAACUUGAUGGAUUGGCCAAAGAAGUG